GAGAACCACAACAGAAAUAUUCCAGCUGGCAACUCUUCUAUUUUUCUAUCUCCACUCUGUUUUAUUCGGGCAGCUACCCUACCUGCCCGUAACUGCCCCCCUCCAUCUUCCUAUAUAAACCCACUCCUCCACUCUUUUAUUUCAAAAUCUGAGUGCUCUUAAAAACAAAGAAUUCCAAACCCUAACAAAAGCAACACUAAUGGCUUUCUCCAAAUUGAUAUUUCUCACGACAAUGUUGGUGCUCGCCACCGUUAUCUCCGUCGCCGCUUCCGCCGAGGCUCCAGCUCCUAGCCCCGCCUCUCCUGCCGCCGCUGUAUCUCCAUCGUUUGCUGCCGGUGUUGUUGCCGCCGUCGUUGCUCUUGCCUUCGGAUCUGCUCUCAAGAUCUGAGCAUGCGGUUAAUAGAUUUUCGAGUUAUGUUUACUGUGUGGAGUUUAAGUAGAGAUUAUGAGACUUGAUUAGUAGUAUAUAAAUUCUCUCUCUAUAUAUUGAUAUGUAGGAGUUAUAUAAAUAUGUUGAUUUCUGGAUCUUAGUUGAUUUUAUGAUUUGAGGAGUGUGAUGGUUGUGAUCAUUGUUUCCGGUACAUAAUCAAAUUUUUUUUCAUUUUCUAAUUUGUGUUGUGUUUCGUUGUUGUAUUUAUUUUAGAUAUUAAUCUUUGGAGAAAUUAAUUAUAUUCAUGUCCUC
This 682-nucleotide long non-coding RNA is filed under the name Lupinus angustifolius (narrow-leaved blue lupine). Its description in RNAcentral is "long non-coding RNA (LANG_LNC001662)". The record is from RNAcentral. Lineage: Eukaryota; Viridiplantae; Streptophyta; Magnoliopsida; Fabales; Fabaceae.